UACGUAGGGUGCGAGCGUUAAUCGGAAUUACUGGGCGUAAAGCGUGCGCAGGCGGUCUGUUAAGACCGAUGUGAAAUCCCCGGGCUUAACCUGGGAACUGCAUUGGUGACUGGCAGGCUUUGAGUGUGGCAGAGGGAGGUAGAAUUCCACGUGUAGCAGUGAAAUGCGUAGAGAUGUGGAGGAAUACCGAUGGCGAAGGCAGCCUCCUGGGCCAACACUGACGCUGAGGCGCGAAAGCCAGGGGAGCAAACGGG
This 254-nucleotide ribosomal RNA is filed under the name uncultured bacterium. RNAcentral's name for it is "partial 16S ribosomal RNA". It matches the Rfam family "Bacterial small subunit ribosomal RNA", at positions 524 to 776 of the family's 1533-position model. The record is from RNAcentral.